RNAcentral lists this ribosomal RNA (250 nucleotides) under uncultured prokaryote. RNAcentral describes it as "partial 16S ribosomal RNA". It matches the Rfam family "Bacterial small subunit ribosomal RNA", at positions 524 to 773 of the family's 1533-position model. The record is from RNAcentral.
UACGUAUGGAGCAAGCGUUAUCCGGAUUUACUGGGUGUAAAGGGAGCGCAGGCGGCAUGAUAAGUCUGAUGUGAAAGAUCGGGGCCCAACCCCGGGACUGCAUUGGAAACUGUGAUGCUGGAGUGUCGGAGGGGUAAGCGGAAUUCCUGGUGUAGCGGUGAAAUGCGUAGAUAUCAGGAGUAACACCGGUGGCGAAGGCGGCUUACUGGACGACAACUGACGCUGAGGCUCGAAAGCGUGGGGAGCAAAC